RNAcentral lists this long non-coding RNA (1156 nucleotides) under Ananas comosus (pineapple). RNAcentral's name for it is "long non-coding RNA (ACOM_LNC034975)". Lineage: Eukaryota; Viridiplantae; Streptophyta; Magnoliopsida; Poales; Bromeliaceae. The record is from RNAcentral.
CGAGCUCGAGCGAGCUUAUGUCAGCUCAAAUUCGGCUUGGAAUUAAUUUCGAGCCUAAAUCUAGGCUCAAGCUCGGCUUGAAAUUAAUUCGAGCCGAACUCGAGCGAGCCUAAUUUCGAGUCGAGCCGAGCUCGAGCUCUAAACGAGCCGAUUGAAAUUCUCGAUAUUAUAUAAUCAAUAGUUUAAUUUUUAUAGAACAUUACCUACAAUUUAAUGCAACAUGUCCAAUAGUUCAAAAUACAAAAUAAUUAUAAGAAAUGUGAGCUAGGGUGACUUCCUGACUGGAUGAGGGUCUGAGAGAGAGAGAGAGAGAGAGAGAGAGAAAGGAAAAAAAGUAGGGAUUUGAAAAUUUGAAUGUUAUUAUGUUUUAGGGUUAUGUACAACAGUGAAAGUCUGAAAGAGAGUGUUAUGUAAAUUUAGAGUUGGGCUCAAUUGCAUGGUUGUACUUGUUGGGUUUAUUUUAUGGGCCAACAAUAAUGACCCAAAUUAAAUUAAAGCCUAUAUAUAAUUAAAAUACAUUAUAUUCAUUCAUAAAUAUUAUAUAACCAACAACCCACUCAACCCUAGAGGACCACUAUCAUUCUAAGUGGGGACCACCAUUAUCCUAACCACACAUCCCAUCAAUCAACGGAUAAAAAUUUAUGAGUAUAAGGGGGUCUAUACUCAUAAGAGUAUAGUAGCCCCAGCCUAUAUAUAUAUAUAUAUAUAUAUAGAAUGAUGCUACUAUACUAUCAAUAGUACCAAGCCCUUGGUACUAUUGAGUUUUCGGCCGUUGGAUUAAAGGAUGUGCGGUUAGGAUGAUAGUGGUCCCCGAUUAAAUUGAUAGUGGUCCCCUAUGGUUGAGUGGGUGGUUGGUUUAAUAGUAUAAUCUAAUGGGUGAAAAUGAUCAAAGGGUAGAUCUAACGUUAGAAAACUCAAUAGUACCAAAGGCUUGGUACUAUCGAUAGUAUAGUAGCCGGACUCUAUAUAUAUAUAUAUAUAUUUCGAGCUUUUCGAGCCUAAUUCGAACGAGCCGAGUAAUACUCAAGCUCGGCUUGAAAUGAAUUUCGAGUCUUUUAUUUUGUUCAAGUUCGGCUCAUUUAAUUUCGAGUCGAGCUCGAGCGAGCCGAAUAUCGAGCCGAACACGAGUCGAACGCGAGCCGGCUCGCUCGUUUGC